This 453-nucleotide ribosomal RNA is filed under the name uncultured bacterium. Its description in RNAcentral is "bacterial SSU rRNA". It matches the Rfam family "Bacterial small subunit ribosomal RNA", at positions 340 to 786 of the family's 1533-position model. The record is from RNAcentral.
UACGGAAGGCAGCAGUGGGGAAUAUUGCACAAUGGGCGCAAGCCUGAUGCAGCCAUGCCGCGUGUAUGAAGAAGGCCUUCGGGUUGUAAAGUACUUUCAGUCGUGAGGAAGGUGUUAAGGUUAAUAACCUUAGCAAUUGACGUUAGCGACAGAAGAAGCACCGGCUAACUCCGUGCCAGCAGCCGCGGUAAUACGGAGGGUGCGAGCGUUAAUCGGAAUUACUGGGCGUAAAGGGCACGCAGGCGGUUAAUUAAGUUGGAUGUGAAAUCCCCGGGCUUAACCUGGGAAUGGCAUUCAAGACUGGUUAGCUAGAGUCUUGUAGGGGGGGUAGAAUUCCAUGUGUAGCGGUGAAAUGCGUAGAGAUGUGGAGGAAUACCGGUGGCGAAGGCGGCCCCUGGACAAAGACUGACGCUCAUGUGCGAAAGCGUGGGGAGCAAACAGGGAUUAGAUACC